Molecule: non-coding RNA, 218 nt
Organism: Oryza glumipatula
Lineage: Eukaryota; Viridiplantae; Streptophyta; Magnoliopsida; Poales; Poaceae
Source: Rfam
AAUAAGUGCAGCCAUGAGUUUCAGCGCUCAACUUUGAUCGUCCGUCUUAUUUGAAUUUUUUUUAUAAUUAGCAAUUUUGUUGUUAUAAGAUGAUAAAACAUGAAUACUACUUUACUCGUGACUUAUACUCGUGACUUAUGUUUUUAAUUUUUUUCAAAAAAAUUUUAAAUAAGAUGAGUGGUCAAAGUUGAACGUGAAAAAUUAUGGUUGCAUUUAUC